GGUCGUAGUAAACGAAAGUGACAAGUCGUGGUGGUUGUAUUUCGAGUAGAGAGCGAAUUUAAAACGACGUCAUAACCGUUGCGACUAAGAAAUAGCCAAUCGGCCAAUCAGGCAACAAGUGAUUGUCGUUGUUGUUUGUGUUUUUGUUGACCCGUAAUAGCCGGCUAGUGAGCUUGCAUUUAAACAGCGAUCAGUGAAGCUGAGAACGCGAACAAGAUCAGUGAUUUUUAGUGCGAAAGAAAGGAAAACCGGAAAAUCGUCGGAAUUUUCGAACCGAAUCAAGUAUGUCGAAAGGCAACGAAUUUUCUUUGUCCUUUGUCGUAACAUUUCCUGCCGAUCAUGAGUUUGUUUCCAUGUCGCUAAAUAUAUUCUUGUGAUUUUGACUCAAUCCAUCAUGAAUAAUAUAAUUAGAAUACCCAGUAAUAAUUACUGGUAGUUGAUAAAGUUCGCACACAAGGAGGUGGUGGUGGUGGAGGUCGUGAUGGUGAUGAUGCAUAACACCAACCAAUGCCACAAUCAGACACCCGUGAAGUUUGUCUUUGAACACACACACAUACGAAGAGAAACCCCUCGAGUGAUGGCCAAUCAAUCAUGUCCCGUAAGAAACUGACAAAUGCCGGGAAUUUUUUUGCGCCAUAGAUAACAGCCAUGGGAGCGUUCUUUCUUUCUUUCUUUUUUUUUUGGUUUAACAUUCGCCUUGCCCUGAAAUUUUAUUCAAAACAAAAAAAUUACUAUCGGUAGUGGACUUAUUUAUUAUCUGUGGCCAAGAAACUGAAACAGCAAAAAAACAAAAA
This is a long non-coding RNA of Musca domestica (house fly), 794 nucleotides long. RefSeq lists it as uncharacterized. The record is from RefSeq and is a predicted model, not a curated record. The transcript is spliced from 2 exons. Lineage: Eukaryota; Metazoa; Arthropoda; Insecta; Diptera; Muscidae.